GAUGAAGAACGUAGCGAAAUGCGAUAAGUAAUGUGAAUUGCAGAAUUCAGUGAAUCAUUGAAUCUUUGAACGCACAUUGCGCCCCCUGGUAUUCCGGGGGGCAUGCCUGUCCGAGCGUCAUUACAACCCUCAAGCUCAGCUUGGUGUUGGGCCCCGCCGCCCCGGCGGGCCCUAAAGUCAGUGGCGGUGCCGUCCGGCUCCGAGCGUAGUAAUUCUUCUCGCUCUGGAGGUCCGGUCGUGUGCUCGCCAGCAACCCCCAAUUUUUUUCAGGUUGACCUCGGAUCAGGUAGGGAUACCCGCUGAACUUAAGCAUAUCAAUAAGCGGAGGA
Molecule: unclassified non-coding RNA, 329 nt
Filed under: soil metagenome
Description: partial contains 5.8S ribosomal RNA, internal transcribed spacer 2, and large subunit ribosomal RNA
Rfam family: 5.8S ribosomal RNA (bases 1-120)
Source: RNAcentral